UUUUUUUGUAGAGAUGGAGUCUCAGUAUGUUUCCCAGUCUGGUCCCGAACUGUGCUGGCCUCAAGCCAUCCUCCUGCCUUAGCCUCCCAAAGUGCUGGGAUUAUAGGUGUGAGCCUCUGGACCCAGCCCCAGUAUCAUGCUAUUCCAAACAAUGCUACCUCAAAAUAUUUUGCACUUAUAUGUAAAUAUAUACAAUCAUAUAAUUACACGUGGGUUCAUAUCUCUGUAGAAUAUGGACUUCAGUGUGGAAUUUCUGGGUCAAAUGGGAUGCAUACUAAAUAUUUUUCUAGAUCAUAGCAAAUUAUCUUCUCAAAAGGCUGUAUCAUUUUAUAUUCCCACCAACAUACUUGUUUACUCUUUCUUGCCAACAUUGGAUAUUAUCUCUAAUAUUUUACAAGUCUGUAAAGUGAUGUUAGUAUACCAAAUGAGCAAAAUUAACAACAUUUGAAGUUAUUUUUAGCUUAUCCAAUCUUGCUCAUACUCACUUGCUCAAGAAGAAAAGUUAUGUGCAAGCCAUUCUGCAACUACUACCUCCCCUU
RNAcentral lists this long non-coding RNA (539 nucleotides) under Homo sapiens (human). RNAcentral describes it as "non-protein coding lnc-TMEM168-4:1". Lineage: Eukaryota; Metazoa; Chordata; Mammalia; Primates; Hominidae. The record is from RNAcentral.